UACGGGGGGGGCAAGCGUUGUUCGGAAUUACUGGGCGUAAAGGGCUCGUAGGUGGCCAACUAAGUCAGACGUGAAAUCCCUCGGCUUAACCGGGGAACUGCGUCUGAUACUGGAUGGCUUGAGUUCGGGAGAGGAAUGCGGAAUUCCAGGUGUAGCGGUGAAAUGCGUAGAUAUCUGGAGGAACACCGGUGGCGAAGGCGGCAUUCUGGACCGAUAUUGACGCUGAGGAGCGAAAGCCAGGGGAGCAAACGGG
Molecule: ribosomal RNA, 253 nt
Filed under: uncultured bacterium
Lineage: Bacteria
Description: partial 16S ribosomal RNA
Rfam family: Bacterial small subunit ribosomal RNA
Source: RNAcentral